AUACGUUUGGUGCGGGAUUUCAAUGGUCGGCGUGACCUUCUGUCAUGCUGAAGUUUCCGUUGUGAAUAUCUAUUGUUUGGGACGUGGACAGUGCACAUAGACCUGUUUCAGAUCCAGCCUUCAAAAGCUUAUCAAGGUAGAAGAGGUUUUCAAGUACACAAGCGUGAAUUGAUUUAGAGACCUAUCUCACAUAAACACCGGACGGUACCUGAGGAGCUGCCCCGGGGGUACAGACUGUGAACACGUUUCCAUCAAUACCCGCCUCGGGAAUCAGUUGCUUCAUCGCGUGUGACGUAACUCUUCACCAAACAGCCGCCGACAGAAAGCAAUCCUUUAAAGAAGGACAACACCAAAAGGACAACAACAGGACAACAGAAGGAUAACAACAGAAGGAUACCAACAGAAGGACAACAACAGAACGAUAACAACUUGAGGAUAUUGGCUGCUUGAAGCAACAGCGAGAAAACUAAGCAUUUGAUCAGUCGCGGUGACGUGUGGAAUAUUGAACAAAGCGUAGUAAAAUCCCUACCCUAACAUGUGUCCCAAAAUCAUCGGCUUCCGAUAAGAUAUUGUUUGUUUGUUGUUUAACGUUUGUUCAGCAAUAUUUCAGCAAUAGAAUGACGGUAUGUAAAUGAUCGAGUAUGGACCAGACAAUUCAGUUAUGGUUAUCAUACGCAUUGAUCCAUGCAAUUGGGACGAUGACAUGCAUCAACCAGUCAGCGAGCCUGACCACCC
Haliotis rufescens (red abalone) is the source of this 735-nucleotide long non-coding RNA. RefSeq lists it as uncharacterized. The record is from RefSeq and is a predicted model, not a curated record. Lineage: Eukaryota; Metazoa; Mollusca; Gastropoda; Lepetellida; Haliotidae. The transcript has 3 exons.